CUUCCGGAGCUAACGCGUUAAGUCGACCGCCUGGGGAGUACGGCCGCAAGGUUAAAACUCAAAUGAAUUGACGGGGGCCCGCACAAGCGGUGGAGCAUGUGGUUUAAUUCGAUGCAACGCGAAGAACCUUACCUGGCCUUGACAUCCACGGAAUUCGGCAGAGAUGCCUUAGUGCCUUCGGGAACCGUGAGACAGGUGCUGCAUGGCUGUCGUCAGCUCGUGUUGUGAAAUGUUGGGUUAAGUCCCGCAACGAGCGCAACCCUUAUCCUUUGUUGCCAGCACGUAAUGGUGGGAACUCAAAGGAGACUGCCGGUGAUAAACCGGAGGAAGGUGGGGAUGACGUCAAGUCAUCAUGGCCCUUACGGCCAGGGCUACACACGUGCUACAAUGGCGCAUACAAAGAGAAGCGACCUCGCGAGAGCAAGCGGACCUCAUAAAGUGCGUCGUAGUCCGGAUCGGAGUCUGCAACUCGACUCCGUGAAGUCGGAAUCGCUAGUAAUCGUAGAUCAGAAUGCUAC
Molecule: ribosomal RNA, 518 nt
Filed under: uncultured bacterium
Lineage: Bacteria
Description: bacterial SSU rRNA
Rfam family: Bacterial small subunit ribosomal RNA
Source: RNAcentral